UACAGAGGGUGCGAGCGUUGUCCGGAAUCACUGGGCGUAAAGGGCGCGUAGGCGGUCGGGUAAGCGUGUGGUGAAAGCUCGGGGCUCAACCCCGAGUCGGCCGUGCGAACUGCUCGACUGGAGCAUGUCAGAGGCAGGCGGAAUUCCGGGUGUAGCGGUGGAAUGCGUAGAGAUCCGGAAGAACACCGGUGGCGAAGGCGGCCUGCUGGGACAUUGCUGACGCUGAGGCGCGACAGCGUGGGGGAGCAAACAGG
This 254-nucleotide ribosomal RNA is filed under the name uncultured bacterium. Its description in RNAcentral is "partial 16S ribosomal RNA". It matches the Rfam family "Bacterial small subunit ribosomal RNA", at positions 524 to 776 of the family's 1533-position model. The record is from RNAcentral.